Molecule: small nucleolar RNA, 109 nt
Filed under: Castor canadensis (American beaver)
Lineage: Eukaryota; Metazoa; Chordata; Mammalia; Rodentia; Castoridae
Description: Small nucleolar RNA SNORA42/SNORA80 family (ENSCCNG00000020243.1)
Rfam family: Small nucleolar RNA SNORA42/SNORA80 family
About the family: The members of this family belong to the H/ACA class of snoRNAs that guide the sites of modification of uridines to pseudouridines.
Source: Rfam by way of RNAcentral
ACAAGAACUUCCUCCUCUCACAGUGUCCUAUGCCAGAACAAACUGUGGCUCUAAACCAUUGCCUAGCCUCUGCCUGUAGGCUUCUUGCACUGAAGUGGGUUGCACAGUA